GUCAAGUCAUCAUGGCCCUUAUGUCCAGGGCUACACACGUGCUACAAUGGACGGUACAGCGCGGAGCGAAGCCGCGAGGUAUAAGCGAAUCGCUAAAAGCCGUCCGUAGUUCGGAUUGAGGUCUGAAACCCGACUUCAUGAAGUUGGAAUCGCUAGUAAUCGCGCAUCAGCAUGGCGCGGUGAAUACGUUCCCGGGCCUU
Molecule: ribosomal RNA, 200 nt
Filed under: uncultured prokaryote
Description: partial 16S ribosomal RNA
Rfam family: Bacterial small subunit ribosomal RNA
Source: RNAcentral